UACGAAGGGGGCUAGCGUUGCUCGGAAUGACUGGGCGUAAAGGGCGCGUAGGCGGAUGGCUUUGUCGGGCGUGAAAUUCCAGGGCUUAACCUUGGGGCUGCGUUCGAGACGGGUUGUCUUGAGUGGGGAAGAGGGUCGUGGAAUUCCCAGUGUAGAGGUGAAAUUCGUAGAUAUCGGGAGGAACACCGGUGGCGAAGGCGGUUCUCUGGGCCUGUACUGACGCUGAGGAGCGAAAGCGUGGGGAGCGAACAGG
Molecule: ribosomal RNA, 253 nt
Filed under: uncultured bacterium
Lineage: Bacteria
Description: partial 16S ribosomal RNA
Rfam family: Bacterial small subunit ribosomal RNA
Source: RNAcentral